Molecule: long non-coding RNA, 1388 nt
Organism: Symphalangus syndactylus (siamang)
Lineage: Eukaryota; Metazoa; Chordata; Mammalia; Primates; Hylobatidae
Source: RefSeq, a predicted model, not a curated record
CUUUUCACCUUAGGAAGGAGGUCUCUUUACUUUUUAUUUGAAAAGGAAUUGUUUUUGUUGUUUUCCUAAACCUGAGGAAUGAAGGAAGCCAUCCUUGAGGAGUCAAGAUAAACUUCAGAUGUAAGCUGAACAGUUGCUGGGUCACAGAAUUCCACCGGGAAGGGGAAGAGCCUCUGGAGCAGUGCCCACAGUCCUGCCUUCUGUGGUUGGGAGAUUUCAAAAUGAGUUCUGGGAAAUGUUAGGCCAUAUGUAAAAGAAGAAGUGAUCUUGAGAAAGGCCAUGGUACCCGUGGCUGGAGGUCCUGGACGCAGUCUGUCCCUCAUCUCAUCCAUGGAGAAUGUUCCCUAUAUUAGUUUGUUCUCACAUUGUUAUAAAGAUCUACCUGAGCCUGGGUAAUUUAUAAAGAAAAGAGGUGUAAUUGACUCACAGUUCUGCAGGCUGUACAGGAAGCCUGGCUGGGGAGGCCUCAGGAAAUUAUCAAUCAUGGCAGAAGGUGAAGUGGAAACAAGCACAUCUUCCAUGGUUGGAGAAGGAGGGAGAGAGCGAAGGGUAAGGCACCACACACUUUUAAACAACCAGGUCUUGUGAGAAUUCACAGUCAUGGGAACAGCCAGGAGGAAUUCUACCCCCAUGAUCUAAUCACUUACCACCAGGUCCCUCCCCCACCACUGGGGAUUACAAUUUGACCUGAGAUUUGGGCGAGGACACAAAUCCAAACUGUCAUUCCCCAACUUGUUACAACACCUACUGCUCCUUGCUUCAGUGCUCGUUUUCAGCUGGCUUCAGUUGCUAGUUUCUGGUGUUUCUUAAUUGGGUUUCUUAAAUGGUUUUCGGAGGUUAUGUAAAAUUGUGUCACCGAAAUAUGUGUGUGUGUGCAUGUGUGUGUGUGUGUCUGCACGCAUGCACAUGAUCUCCUGGGGGAGAGAUUCAAACAUUUUCAUCAUGUUUUCAAAAGAUGCCGGGAUCCACGGAAGGUUAAUAAUUACUUCUUCUUGUGUCCUUGUUCAGCAUGGGUUCUUUCAGUGAAAUUAGGUAAAUACCUCACUCAUAUAGCCUGACACUGUGAAUAUAGAUUGUGCUAUAGUUUAAGUGUUUCUUCUAAGAAACAAGUGUUGAAAGCUUAAUCCUUAAGACAACAGUGUUGGGAGGUGGGGCCUCAUGAGGUUGAUGCCAUCAUGAUGGGAGUGAGUGAGUUACUGUGAGAGCAGGCUCCUGAUAACAGGAUGAGUUUGGCCCCCUUCUGCUGCUCUCUCACGCACACUCUCUUGCCCUUCUGCCUUUCAUCACGUUAUGAUCUGGCAAGAAGGUACUCGCCAGAUCCCAGCCUCUUGAUCUUGGAUUUCCCAGCCUCCAUAACUGUAAGCCAAUAAAUUUCUUUUCAUUAUGAA